RNAcentral lists this long non-coding RNA (489 nucleotides) under Cavia porcellus (domestic guinea pig). RNAcentral describes it as "lncRNA (ENSCPOG00000039047.1)". The record is from RNAcentral. Lineage: Eukaryota; Metazoa; Chordata; Mammalia; Rodentia; Caviidae.
AUAUUUGGCAGUUGGGAUCCCUGUGGAUGCAGGUAUAAUAAAUAAUAAUAUUUUCUUUGCUUUCUAGGGCAUUUGUGGCACAAUGAUAAAUUUCAUCUUUCCCAGUAUGAAGUGAUUGGCCCUGUCCUGGUCUAUUCCCCUCAGCUUGGAUCCAUCGCCUGCUCCGGCUGGCUUCUACUGACACUGCCAACAGACAGGGCAAGGAAGUGCGGUCACAGAACAGGAGCAGGAGCAGUUUCAAUGUAAGGAAACGAGGGAAACGGACCUAAUAGCAGUAUGAAUGAUCUUGCGAGUACAGAGCCUUGUAGUCUGCUUUCCUUCCGUUGCUUAUCCUGGUGAGUUUAAUCAAAAACAAACAAAACGCUCUUGUGAAAUAUAGUCAAUAAAGUCAAAGUUUAGCUAGCUGUAUGUAACUACAAAGAAAAAGUCAUUGCAAUUUUUUUUAAAUGUAACUUUCAUUAACAAGCGCGCCGGAAAUCUCAGGUAUCA